UCAUAUUUCUACAUUUUUAUUUUUAAAUUUCUAAUUUCAUUAAAAAUAAAAUUAAACAUUACAAUAAUUUAAAGACAUAAUUUAAAUACAAUAAAAAAAUAAAAAUUACACUAAUUUUCUAGGACUCAAUCGGACCAAAACGAGACCAAAUGUAUUUUUAAUUCAAAUUUCAUUAAAAUUUAAAUUAAACAUUGCAAUAAAAAUAAAAAUUACAUAAUUUAAAUAAUAAAAAAAUUACAUAAUUUAAAUAAUUAAGAUUUU
RNAcentral lists this long non-coding RNA (261 nucleotides) under Salvia miltiorrhiza (redroot sage). RNAcentral describes it as "long non-coding RNA (SMIL_LNC010264)". Lineage: Eukaryota; Viridiplantae; Streptophyta; Magnoliopsida; Lamiales; Lamiaceae. The record is from RNAcentral.